Molecule: ribosomal RNA, 253 nt
Filed under: uncultured bacterium
Lineage: Bacteria
Description: partial 16S ribosomal RNA
Rfam family: Bacterial small subunit ribosomal RNA
Source: RNAcentral
UACAGAGGUCCCAAGCGUUGUUCGGAAUCACUGGGCGUAAAGGGUGCGUAGGCGGCGCGGAAAGUCAGGGGUGAAAUCCCGGAGCUCAACUCCGGAACUGCCUUUGAUACUCCCGCGCUUGAGAACUGGAGGGGAGACCGGAAUUCACGGUGGAGCAGUGAAAUGCGUGGAUAUCGUGAGGAACACUAGUGGCGAAGGCGCGUCUCUGGACAGUAUCUGACGCUGAGGCACGAAGGCCAGGGGAGCGAACGGG